Molecule: long non-coding RNA, 1016 nt
Organism: Salvelinus fontinalis (brook trout)
Lineage: Eukaryota; Metazoa; Chordata; Actinopteri; Salmoniformes; Salmonidae
Exons: 2
Source: RefSeq, a predicted model, not a curated record
CCACCUUCUUUCCAGAGUUCCCCAGCUCUUAUCCAGUAGCUGCUCAACCCUCUUCCUCUAAAAAUAUACAGAAAGAACUGAAUGAAUAGUUACAGUCUUGUCCCAUCGUUGCAACUCCCAUACGGACUCGGAAGAAGUCGAGAGCGGCACAUCCACCGAAACACAACCCAGCAAAGCCACACUGCUUCUUGACACAACGCCCUCUUAACCCAGAAGCCAGCCAGACCAAUGUGUCGGAGGAAACGCCAUACACCUGGCACGACCGUGUCAGCGUGCAUGUGCCUGGCCCGCCACAGGAGUCACUAGAGCGCCAUCGGACAAGGACAUCCCGGCUGGACAAACCCUCCCCUAACUAGAACAACGCUGGGCCAAUUGUGAGCUGCUUCAUGGGUCUCCGGGUCGCCGCCGGCUGCGACAGAGCCUGGACUCGAACCAGGAUCUCUAGUGGCACAGCUAGCUCUGCGAUGCAGUGCCUUAGACCACUGCGCCUCCUGGGAGGCCCUACUAUGUCGAGUUAGACAGGUUAACGUAAAAUAAUACAUUUUGUUGGGUUACACUUAUAGCCGUUUCAUGAUGAUUGUUACGGUUGUGUCAAUCAUGUUAUAUACUUAGGCUAUUGUAACAAGGCAUAUGCCAGCAUUACUGCCUCUGCCCAGAGGACUAUUAAGCUUUCAUGGCAAUGGCCGCUCACUUUGCCACGCAUGAGCCCUGGUUAGAUUCCCUGUUGCAGCUUUCACUUUCUUCUGCUACACUGGUGGCAGUGCUGGGAUCACGUCCAGCUCACAUCUAGUUAUUUGAUCUAGUGGUGGGAAGCGUUCUGUUUUUCAACAUUGUAUUGGGUUUAAUAACCCUUGAAUGAGUAGGUGUGUCCAAACUUUUGACUGGUACUGUAUAUAUUUUUUGUGUGGGCUGUUUUGCAUUUUUUUUAGGAAUUAAUAAGUGUCACAUAUCAGUUUGCAAACAAUGUAAAAAAAUAAGUAAUCAAUGAGUUAAUAAAGUUGCAUACAUACAUGUUU